Macrosteles quadrilineatus (aster leafhopper) is the source of this 194-nucleotide long non-coding RNA. RefSeq lists it as uncharacterized. The record is from RefSeq and is a predicted model, not a curated record. Lineage: Eukaryota; Metazoa; Arthropoda; Insecta; Hemiptera; Cicadellidae. The transcript has 3 exons.
GAUGAAGACCGGUUAGCUUCGAUGGAUGAAGAAUUUAUUGAAAAACAAAUUAUAGACUUAAAAUGUACAGAAGAAGAUUUUGACACACUACAAAGGCAACUUGAUCUAAUCAAAGAAGAAGUAGAAAGUGAAAACCAGAGAAAAGCACUUGUCAUAGAUGAAUUGCAGAAAAUCAAGGAGAAAGAAAAGGCUGU